CACGUAGGGUGCGAGCGUUGUCCGGAAUUAUUGGGCGUAAAGAGCUCGUAGGCGGUGUGUCGCGUCGGCCGUGAAAACCUGCAGCUUAACUGUGGGCUUGCGGUCGAUACGGGCAUCACUGGAGUUCGGCAGGGGAGACUGGAAUUCCUGGUGUAGCGGUGGAAUGCGCAGAUAUCAGGAGGAACACCGAUGGCGAAGGCAGGUCUCUGGGCCACUACUGACGCUGAGAAGCGAAAGCAUGGGGAGCGAACAGG
This 254-nucleotide ribosomal RNA is filed under the name uncultured bacterium. RNAcentral describes it as "partial 16S ribosomal RNA". It matches the Rfam family "Bacterial small subunit ribosomal RNA", at positions 524 to 776 of the family's 1533-position model. The record is from RNAcentral.